GACCAACCUACCUAUACGAGGAAGGGAACGUAACCGGACGAAGUCGGACUAAUACCGCAUAAAACAGGGGCACCGCAUGGUGAUAUUUGUUAAAGAAAUUCGCUGAUAGAUGGGCAUGCGUUCCAUUAGGUAGUUGGUGAGGUAACGGCUCACCAAGCCGACGAUGGAUAGGGGAACUGAGAGGUUGGUCCCCCACACUGGUACUGAGACACGGACCAGACUCCUACGGGAGGCAGCAGUGAGGAAUAUUGGUCAAUGGGCGAGAGCCUGAACCAGCCAAGUCGCCGUGAAGGAAGAAGGAUCUAUGGUUCGUAAACUUCUUUUGCAGGGGAAUAAAGUGCAGGACGUGUCCUGUUUUGUAUGUACCCUGAGAAUAAGGAUCGGCUAACUCCGUGCCAGCCGCGGC
Molecule: ribosomal RNA, 406 nt
Filed under: uncultured bacterium
Lineage: Bacteria
Description: bacterial SSU rRNA
Rfam family: Bacterial small subunit ribosomal RNA
Source: RNAcentral